This 382-nucleotide long non-coding RNA is filed under the name Oreochromis niloticus (Nile tilapia). RNAcentral's name for it is "lncRNA (ENSONIG00000031007.1)". Lineage: Eukaryota; Metazoa; Chordata; Actinopteri; Cichliformes; Cichlidae. The record is from RNAcentral.
UGAUUGGAGUUGUCUGAGCCUGUAUUUUUGUUCUUUGUCUUUUGUUACACAGAGUGAACAGAUCCUUGGUUUUGCCUUUGCUGGUGACCUGCUGCAGAAAACCCUCUCCCUCUAUCAUUAUCAAGCAAUUCUGUCUAUCCUAUCACUCUCCCAACUCUAUCUAAUUUGACAGCCAUUCUAUCUUGUAUCACUCUAUCCCAACUCUAUCUAAUUUGACAGCCAUUCUAUCUUGUAUAAAUCUAUCCCAAGCACUCUAUCUCGUUUUCAGAAAUCUAAGUCUUCAGAAAUCCCAGUUUUCAGAAAUCCCAGUCUUCAGAAAUCCCAGUCUUCAGAAAUCUAAGUCUUGAAAAAUCCAAGUUUUGAAAAAUCCAAGUUUUGAAAA